UACGUAGGGUGCAAGCGUUGUCCGGAAUUAUUGGGCGUAAAGAGCUCGUAGGCGGUUUGUCACGUCUGCUGUGAAAACUCGGGGCUUAACUCCGGGCCUGCAGUGGGUACGGGCAGACUAGAGUGCGGUAGGGGAGACUGGAAUUCCUGGUGUAGCGGUGAAAUGCGUAGAUAUCGUAAGGAAGACCAGUGGCGAAGGCGGGUCUCUGGACAGUUCCUGACGCUGAGGCACGAAGGUCAGGGGAGCAAACGGG
RNAcentral lists this ribosomal RNA (253 nucleotides) under uncultured bacterium. RNAcentral describes it as "partial 16S ribosomal RNA". It matches the Rfam family "Bacterial small subunit ribosomal RNA", at positions 524 to 776 of the family's 1533-position model. The record is from RNAcentral.